CCUUUCUUUUCCUUUUUUCCCCGCUGUGCCUGAAUCUCCCGGGACACUUAGACGGCUGGAGCCUCCCGACUCCAAGGCGGGCGACGGCAAAGUUAAACGCCAGCGCGCUGCGGUCCCCGGGCACCGAGGCGUCCCCGCUCCCGCCACCCACACAGGGCGCCAAGUGCCCCGACCCGCGAGUGACGAGGACGCACAGCCUGGAAGCCUCGCGGCCCUCCAGAUGGACUCGGAGCGCCCCUGGAGGCUACAGUGACCUAAGCUCUAGGAAGGCCGGGUCCUGGACGCCGCGUGCUGCUGUCCGCCGCCGACCGGUGUCCUCGCAGAGAUAACCUGGCUGAACUCACCGCCCAGCGCUAUGUCAGUUCUCCCUCAUGACAACCCAAAACUUGACCGGAUUUGUGUUCUGCAGAGAGGAAAAAAAAAAGCGGCCACCGAACACCAGUGCAGUAGCCAGGAUGGGCCUGUGGCUCUGGCUGCAGCCUCCAGGGACACCAGCUGGAGAGAAGGAAGCCACGCAUGGAGAGCGGCCAGG
RNAcentral lists this long non-coding RNA (532 nucleotides) under Homo sapiens (human). RNAcentral describes it as "FNDC1 antisense RNA 1". The record is from RNAcentral. Lineage: Eukaryota; Metazoa; Chordata; Mammalia; Primates; Hominidae.